UCCUUGAUGAUCUUUGAGGAAUCGAUCUUCGCCUUUGAUCGAGUAGAACGGCCAGUCUUUGUAGUUUGUGAUGAUUCAGACAUGUUUGAAUGAAGGUUUUUGAAGUUUGAGAAGUUGAAUGGGUGAAGGUUGUGGUGAGAAGCAGUUGAAUAGGGUUCACGAUCAAAAAUUAGGUUUUUAAUGAAAGUGUAUUGAUUGCGUGUACAGACACAUUUAAGGGAAGUUUGUAAUGAUUUCCNNNNNNNNUUCCCUAAAUUAGCGUGCAUUAAUUGAUAGGAGAGAAAACGGUUUCCUUUUGCACGCCUCAACUGCUGUAACUGCUAUGCAUCUUCAUGCAGGCAAAUUCCCAAUUUGCCCCUUAAAAAUUCAAAUUGAUU
This 377-nucleotide long non-coding RNA is filed under the name Trifolium pratense (red clover). Its description in RNAcentral is "long non-coding RNA (TPRA_LNC005488)". Lineage: Eukaryota; Viridiplantae; Streptophyta; Magnoliopsida; Fabales; Fabaceae. The record is from RNAcentral.